Rosa chinensis is the source of this 1291-nucleotide long non-coding RNA. RefSeq lists it as uncharacterized. The transcript is spliced from 5 exons. The record is from RefSeq and is a predicted model, not a curated record. NCBI's taxonomy places the organism in Eukaryota, Viridiplantae, Streptophyta, Magnoliopsida, Rosales, Rosaceae.
CCGUAUAACCAAGAUUGACUCCGUAAGUAGAAGUGGUGAGAAGAGAGAGUGUAAUGCGGAUAAGAACGAUAGAGACUCUGAGAGCGAAGGGCCGGCUUUUGAGUUACGAUCGAGCAAAAUGUCAGAGGUACUGGGCAUUGGUUAUAGGGUCGACCAAGGAAAAGGGAGGCUUAAUUUUGUGCUCCUCUUAUGAAGGUUCUCUAUCUAAAGUCAAGUUUCAGAUUUCUGUAAUGAAGAAAUAGUGUGAUUGCAGGUGCUUCUUGACGGUGGGAAGACAGAGAGGCUCAUCAAUCAGGAUUCGAAGCUUCCCAACCGGCUCUAACUCAAUAUCGGGUGCUUGGUCCUAUCAUAAAUGGAUGCUCAUGGAUUGAAUUACAACCACGCACUAGCCGAAAGCAUCAGUUGGCUACUAUUUGGUUGGAGCACAAGUAUUCCCCUAGCUGGAGCACUGCUUUUGGCCUUAAGGCAACAUUGUUCUGGAGAAAUCUGAGAGGAGGUGGCAUGAAGUAACAAACCAAGUAGGGGAACAUAUCACCCCAAGUACGAUUCUGUGACUCGGCAGUUCGACUAUGCCAUUUUAAAAACAGUUGGUCUACAUUGAUGCAGUUGCAUAAUUUACUAUUCCUGAGCUGAACAUCGUUGACCAACCAAAAUGGUGGGAAAGAAGUGUUCCGAAGUGCUUUAGAUCAAGCUGGAGAUAGAGUAGGUGUUGUUCAAUUCUAUGGAAAGCACUGUCUCUGGAUUUUGAGCAAUGGAAGAACUGUAUGCGGUAGUGAUUCUGUUUGGAAGGCCUUUAUUUUUUAUGCCAAAAGUUGUGAAUGCUUCUUUAAUUCUGAUCAACACAAUGAUUUGGCAAAGCCAUGGUCGACGUAAAGAAAAUGUUGGACCAAUUUCAUGAGUUGCCCAAUGCCAACAGCAUAAUUUUCAAAAACGCUAGAUGCAAGGUGCUUUUUAGUAUUAACUUUUUGAAGUUAUUCAAGAAUCUGAUGUGGCCUGUUUGGAGAAGUUAGCACUCAGCACUAGAUCUUCUACUGAAGCAGUCAUCUGGCUGAAGACCCAAGAAGCGCGGUGUAGGGAGAAGUUGGUAUUAGCUCUUGACUAAUCUUGAAGAAACUUAAGGUUAAAUCUCAUUGUUUGCACAACAGACUAUUGCAAAGAAUAUGAGAUAAUGUUAAAGGUCUGAGAUGUAUUGCCUCUAAAGGAUAUCCCAAAGUUGGAAUAUCUCUUAGAUACACACAUAAAAUCAUUUUUGUUGAUCUCGCAGCAUCGCGCGAGGAGCACUAUGUAGUAA